UUAACCUCAGAUCAGGCAGAGAUUACCCGCUGAA
This 34-nucleotide ribosomal RNA is filed under the name Eunicella cavolini. Its description in RNAcentral is "Eunicella cavolinii partial 28S ribosomal RNA". Lineage: Eukaryota; Metazoa; Cnidaria; Anthozoa; Malacalcyonacea; Eunicellidae. The record is from RNAcentral.